UUUAACCAAAGCGCCCUCAAAUCNAACAGAUGACUUCNUCUCAAUCUGAUAAUUUACUUAAWACUACCCCUAGACCAGGGUUC
Molecule: ribosomal RNA, 83 nt
Filed under: Pteronotus parnellii (Parnell's mustached bat)
Lineage: Eukaryota; Metazoa; Chordata; Mammalia; Chiroptera; Mormoopidae
Description: partial 16S ribosomal RNA
Source: RNAcentral